AGGAUUGGAAACUUGAAGUUAUGCAGUAUUUUCCGGUUUCAGUAAUGCUUACGCAUGUUUUUUUUAUCCCUGUUUUGUUGACAACUUAAUCAUUGAAUCUUCGUUAUUUUAUAUUUGGUUACAGACAAGCUUUAUUAAAUCUAUCAGGUUUUCCCGUUGUUCUGUAUUUAAGAUCUUUAUUCAUAUUUGGAUCACUGAAAUAC
Molecule: long non-coding RNA, 203 nt
Filed under: Brassica napus (rape)
Lineage: Eukaryota; Viridiplantae; Streptophyta; Magnoliopsida; Brassicales; Brassicaceae
Description: long non-coding RNA (BNAP_LNC024050)
Source: RNAcentral